GUGCUCCCUUUGGCAGCACAUAACCUGAAAUUGAAAUGAUGCAGAGAUUAGCAUGGCCUCUAUGACAGAAUGACAUGCAGAUUCAUGAAGUGUUUUGUAUUUUG
This 104-nucleotide small nuclear RNA is filed under the name Neotoma lepida (desert woodrat). Lineage: Eukaryota; Metazoa; Chordata; Mammalia; Rodentia; Cricetidae. The record is from RNAcentral.